RNAcentral lists this ribosomal RNA (402 nucleotides) under uncultured bacterium. RNAcentral's name for it is "partial 16S ribosomal RNA". It matches the Rfam family "Bacterial small subunit ribosomal RNA", at positions 360 to 774 of the family's 1533-position model. The record is from RNAcentral.
AAUAUUGCACAAUGGGCGACAGCCUGAUGCAGCAACGCCGCGUGAGGGAUGACGGCCUUCGGGUUGUAAACCUCUUUUAGUAGGGAAGAAGCGAAAGUGACGGUACCUGCAGAAAAAGCACCGGCUCACUACUUGCCAGCAGCCGAGGUAAUCCGUCGGGUGCAAGCGUUGUCCGGAAUUAUUGUGAGUAAAGUGCUCGUAGGCGGCUUGUCGCGGCUGCUGUGAAAACCCGAGGAUCAACCUCGGGCUUGCAGUGGGUACGGGAAGGCUAGAGUGCGGUAGGGGAGAUUGGAAUUCCUGGUGUAGCGGUGGAAUGCGCAGAUAUCAGGAGGAACACCGAUGGCGAAGGCAGAUCUCUGGGCCGCUACUGAAGCUGAGGAGCGAAAGCAUGGGGAGCGAACA